RNAcentral lists this long non-coding RNA (2212 nucleotides) under Marmota monax (woodchuck). The record is from RNAcentral. Lineage: Eukaryota; Metazoa; Chordata; Mammalia; Rodentia; Sciuridae.
CAGGGAAUGCCGCUCCCCUCCGCCCUGGUCCCACCCUGCGCCAGCUCUGGCACCUGAGAUGCCCUUUGUGGGUGACCUCCAUGUGGAUGACGUUUGUGUGUCCAGCAGACACUCAGCAGGACCACAAAGCGCUUGAAGGGCCACCGGAGACGUGGGGAGAGACUUUGGGCCACGUGGACCUGCAUUUGAAUCCAGGUCUUUCUGGAAGCCGACCGCCUGCCUCGGAAGGCCCUUUCAGCCCUUGGAAAAUGGAGAGAGUGGACUCCUACCUGAGAUGAACCCUCUGCCCUCCCGUCCCUCCUUCUCCACGUGAGAGUACUCGCUGUGGCACCCGGGGAGACCGAGUUGGCCAGGAAAUGAGUGGCCAGUGGUGGGACUUCAGGCUGAUGCUGGCCGUGGGGGGGUUGAGGCUGGGGAGGCAAGAGCAAGUACGGGGGCCAUCUGGCUGCUGCAUUGGGAGGACUUUGCUUGGUGCUGGCAGGGAAAUCCCAGUUGGGAAGUUGGGAAGCACGAGAGGGACACAAGAGUGAUCUCUUAAAAGCCACCUGUGUCAUCUCAGGCUCAGGCCGGGGCGAGGCAGUGAGUGGCUCGGGCAGCUCCUGGGGGAGGGACAUUCUCCUGCCCCUAUGCAUCUAGGUGCCUGGCAUGGCCCUGAGUCCCGCCCCUGCCCGGUUCUGGCCCUUCCAGGUGGCUACUAUGGUUGGACACUGUAUUUUUCCUUGCAGAGCAGGAUGAUGACCUCCGUGCCCUGUGUAUGUGUCCAUCCCUCCUGCUCGGGACAGAGGCAGACCCUGCUUACCAGCUCCCUUUACCAGGGAAGCCUGGAGAGCAAGGGAGCAGGGGUGGGCAGGAGCAGGAGCGCCCAGGGGCAGGGGCCUCUCAGGACCACAGGCGGUUGGGGCUGCCAGGGGCAGCUGCAGUCAGGGGGCUAAGUGGACCAAGGGGGCCUCCAGGUUGGUUGGGUUUCAAGCACAAGGUGGUACCAAGGCCAGGGAAAGGCAGGCAGAUCUGACCGACCGCGGGAGGGCUGUCUGUGGUGCCCUUUCACCGAUGAUCGUGUGAGGCGACCCUUCACUGCCAAGUGGUGGUUUGUAGACAGGGGAAGCGACAGAUACUAUUUAUCAAGCGUCUUUACGUCUGUUAGCCGCGAGGAGGAGGGGAGACGCUGACAAGGCGCUCUGGGGUCGCCAUCUGUCCAGAACACAACCCUGGGAGCCUCCUGGGAGGCGGAGAACCACCCAGGCUCAAGACCACGCACGUCAUGACUCAUGCUCCCGAGUGUCCCCAAACCCGGGCGGACCCAGUGUCACGGGCUCCCCUGAGCUUCGUCCCUGGGAGAUGUUGAACAUACUGUGGCUCACAGAGCCUGUGGUUCUGUUCAGAGUGUGUUUAGCAAGCAGAGGUCUAGGUGUGAACGGCUGCCCCCCGGGGAGCUGGUGACCCUGGUGGCUUCGUCCCUGCCUUUGGAUCUCACUUUUCCCAUGUUCACGGCGUGGAGAGGACCAAGGGAGGACCCAGGAGGACCCACAUGGAACCAGUUUGGUCCACGGCUCUGGUUACACCUUUCUCAGUGAGUUUAACUGAGCACAUACAUCCCACCAGACCCCGUGCUAGCCACCGAGGACACUGACUUGUAGAUUCACUCAUUUCACGAACAUUUGCUAAGCUCCAACUGUAUGCCCGACAGACCCUGUGCUGGGCUCCCACCUGGCAAGGGAGAUAGACAUUAAAGCACCUAAAAAUAAGUAACCGAGCAAACUCCUCUAGAGCGCCGGCGCCCCAGGGCUCAGCCCAGAGGCCCACCCGGGGACCAUCAGUCCCUUCUACAGAUUACAGCCUGAGGCUCCGAGGGGUGAAGGCUGCUGCCAGGCCCCAGAGCUAGUGGGCUGCAGGGACACAGGCCCCGACUCCCCAGCCCACAUCCUUCCUGGCAGCACCUCUGCCUGCGUGAUUUCCACCACGAUGUCGAGGACAUCGGGCCGGACUGGUCAGGAAGAUGCAGGAUGCCCAGAGGGGCCCACUGCCCAGAGUCUCCAGGUGGGGAAGGGUGUACCUUCAGAGACACCAAGGAGGGGUUCAGGAAGAGUGUGCACCUGCCGGCAGGGAGGGGUGGCCGGCGUGUCCGAGCGUAGGUGUGAGUCUCUGCCUAUUUGUGGAAACGUGCGUGUGUGUGAGCUCAUCUGUGUUCGUGCGUUGGCAGGUGUCCCAUGGA